GCCCAGGGUAAGUCGGGACCUAAGGCGAGGCCGACAGGCGUAGUCGAUGGACAACGGGUUGAUAUUCCCGUACCCGCUUUGAAGCGCCAACGCUGAACCAGGUGAUGCUAAGGCCGUGAAGCCGCCCUGCGACCUUCGGGUUUAGGGGAGUGGUGGAGCCGCCGGCCCAAGUCUGUAGUAGGUGAGCGAUGGGGUGACGCAGGAAGGUAGUCCAGCCCGGGCGGUGGUUGUCCCGGGGUAAGGGUGUAGGACGAACGGUAGGCAAAUCCGCCG
RNAcentral lists this non-coding RNA (273 nucleotides) under Saccharothrix sp. ST-888. Its description in RNAcentral is "Bacterial large subunit ribosomal RNA". It matches the Rfam family "Bacterial large subunit ribosomal RNA", at positions 1372 to 1547 of the family's 2925-position model. The record is from Rfam by way of RNAcentral. Lineage: Bacteria; Bacillati; Actinomycetota; Actinomycetes; Pseudonocardiales; Pseudonocardiaceae.